AAAUUGAAGAGUUUGAUCAUGGCUCAGAUUGAACGCUGGCGGCAGGCCUAACACAUGCAAGUCGAGCGGUAGCACAGAGAGCUUGCUCUCGGGUGACGAGCGGCGGACGGGUGAGUAAUGUCUGGGAAACUGCCUGAUGGAGGGGGAUAACUACUGGAAACGGUAGCUAAUACCGCAUAACGUCGCAAGACCAAAGUGGGGGACCUUCGGGCCUCAUGCCAUCAGAUGUGCCCAGAUGGGAUUAGCUAGUAGGUGGGGUAACGGCUCACCUAGGCGACGAUCCCUAGCUGGUCUGAGAGGAUGACCAGCCACACUGGAACUGAGACACGGUCCAGACUCCUACGGGAGGCAGCAGUGGGGAAUAUUGCACAAUGGGCGCAAGCCUGAUGCAGCCAUGCCGCGUGUGUGAAGAAGGCCUUCGGGUUGUAAAGCACUUUCAGCGGGGAGGAAGGCGUUAAGGUUAAUAACCUUGGCGAUUGACGUUACCCGCAGAAGAAGCACCGGCUAACUCCGUGCCAGCAGCCGCGGUAAUACGGAGGGUGCAAGCGUUAAUCGGAAUUACUGGGCGUAAAGCGCACGCAGGCGGUCUGUCAAGUCGGAUGUGAAAUCCCCGGGCUCAACCUGGGAACUGCAUUCGAAACUGGCAGGCUAGAGUCUUGUAGAGGGGGGUAGAAUUCCAGGUGUAGCGGUGAAAUGCGUAGAGAUCUGGAGGAAUACCGGUGGCGAAGGCGGCCCCCUGGACAAAGACUGACGCUCAGGUGCGAAAGCGUGGGGAGCAAACAGGAUUAGAUACCCUGGUAGUCCACGCCGUAAACGAUGUCGAUUUGGAGGUUGUGCCCUUGAGGCGUGGCUUCCGGAGCUAACGCGUUAAAUCGACCGCCUGGGGAGUACGGCCGCAAGGUUAAAACUCAAAUGAAUUGACGGGGGCCCGCACAAGCGGUGGAGCAUGUGGUUUAAUUCGAUGCAACGCGAAGAACCUUACCUGGUCUUGACAUCCACAGAACUUAGCAGAGAUGCUUUGGUGCCUUCGGGAACUGUGAGACAGGUGCUGCAUGGCUGUCGUCAGCUCGUGUUGUGAAAUGUUGGGUUAAGUCCCGCAACGAGCGCAACCCUUAUCCUUUGUUGCCAGCGGUCCGGCCGGGAACUCAAAGGAGACUGCCAGUGAUAAACUGGAGGAAGGUGGGGAUGACGUCAAGUCAUCAUGGCCCUUACGACCAGGGCUACACACGUGCUACAAUGGCAUAUACAAAGAGAAGCGACCUCGCGAGAGCAAGCGGACCUCAUAAAGUAUGUCGUAGUCCGGAUUGGAGUCUGCAACUCGAC
This 1323-nucleotide ribosomal RNA is filed under the name Klebsiella pneumoniae. Its description in RNAcentral is "bacterial SSU rRNA". It matches the Rfam family "Bacterial small subunit ribosomal RNA", at positions 1 to 1316 of the family's 1533-position model. Lineage: Bacteria; Pseudomonadati; Pseudomonadota; Gammaproteobacteria; Enterobacterales; Enterobacteriaceae. The record is from RNAcentral.